This 231-nucleotide ribosomal RNA is filed under the name uncultured bacterium. RNAcentral describes it as "partial 16S ribosomal RNA". It matches the Rfam family "Bacterial small subunit ribosomal RNA", at positions 103 to 334 of the family's 1533-position model. The record is from RNAcentral.
CGGGUGAGUAACACGUGGGUGACCUGCCCUUAGCUCUGGGAUAAGCCUGGGAAACUGGGUCUAAUACCGGAUAUGACCUCAUGACGCAUGUUGCGGGGUGGAAAGCCUUGUGCGGCUAGGGAUGGGCCCGCGGCCUAUCAGCUUGUUGGUGGGGUGAUGGCCUACCAAGGCGACGACGGGUAGCCGGCCUGAGAGGGCGACCGGCCACACUGGGACUGAGACACGGCCCAG